RNAcentral lists this ribosomal RNA (100 nucleotides) under Clostridiales bacterium. RNAcentral's name for it is "partial 16S ribosomal RNA". It matches the Rfam family "Bacterial small subunit ribosomal RNA", at positions 1 to 105 of the family's 1533-position model. Lineage: Bacteria; Bacillati; Bacillota; Clostridia; Eubacteriales. The record is from RNAcentral.
AAAUUUGAGAGUUUGAUCCUGGCUCAGGAUGAACGCUGGCGGCGUGCCUAACACAUGCAAGUCGAGCGGGAUUCGGGAAACCGAGUUCAGCGGCGGACGG